CAUUUCCAGGAGUCUUCCCAGGUUGAAUUCCCCUGCCUGGGAUAAUGCUCCUGGGCAGCUGGUCAGUACACACUGGUGGCCUGGCCGCUCCUUCUCACUCCUAGAGGGCUUUGCCUGGCUCUGUUGUCUCCUCCUGACACCCUCAGCCCAGGCUUGGACUGCUGUUUCAGGACAACUGACUGACAGAAGCUGAAGGGAUCCAUCCAUAGGAAGUCCCUGAAGUUGAAAUGAGGGGCUACUAAACAACAUGAUGACCUAAGAAAGUAUGGAAUGCACUGGUCAAGGUUGGAGAGGAUGACCAGGAAGUAAAAAGAAGAAAGGCUGAGGUCAGCAGACAUCUUGAAGAGUGAAGGCCUUUUGGAUUUUAGUUACUGAGCUCACUGAUCAGG
Molecule: non-coding RNA, 389 nt
Organism: Peromyscus maniculatus bairdii (prairie deer mouse)
Lineage: Eukaryota; Metazoa; Chordata; Mammalia; Rodentia; Cricetidae
Source: RefSeq, a predicted model, not a curated record